This 223-nucleotide long non-coding RNA is filed under the name Lathyrus oleraceus (garden pea). RNAcentral describes it as "Pisum sativum (pea) long non-coding RNA (PSAT_LNC038665)". Lineage: Eukaryota; Viridiplantae; Streptophyta; Magnoliopsida; Fabales; Fabaceae. The record is from RNAcentral.
UCAAAGCGGCAAUGAAAAACAAAAACAAAAUUAUUUGACUGAAUUUGCAUUUUAUUGAUUUGAAAAUGGGUGGCUCAAGUUGAGCAAUACAAAGGAAGCAAUUCCUGAAAAGAGGUAAUUGCGCACAAAAGGAAAAACCUAUCCUAAUGGCAAUGUGAAACCCGUGAUCUCAUCGAGUUCCAACUCGGUUACACCCCAUAUGUCCUCAGACUCUCCAUGCUUU